GGUUAAAAAGCUCGUAGUUGGAUCUCGGCAAGUAGAGGGCGGUAUGCUUCGUAGCAUUACUGCCCUAUUACUUGUAGUUUUGCCAGAGGUUCCUGGGUGCUCUUAAUCGAGUGUCUAGGGAUGCUGGCAGGUUUACUUUGAAAAAAUUAGAGUGCUCAAAGCAGGCUAUUACGCUUGAAUAUUCGUGCAUGGAAUAAUAGAAUAGGAAGUUGUUUCUAUUUUGUUGGUUUUCGGAAAUCGACUUAAUGAUUAAUAGGGACAGUCGGGGGCAUUUGUAUUCAAACGACAGAGGUGAAAUUCUUGGACCGUUUGAAGACAAACUACUGCGAAAGCAUUUGCCAGAAUGUUUUCAUUAAUCAAGAACGAAAGUUAGAGGUUCGAAGGCGAUUAGAUACCGCCCUAGUUCUAACCAUAAACGAUGCCAGCUAGCGAUCUGAGGACGUUUUUUUUGUAGACUCCUCAGGAAGCUUCCGGGAAACCAAAGCGUGUGGGUUCCGGGGGAAGUAUGGUUGCAAAGCUGAAACUUAAAGGAAUUGACGGAAGGGCACCACCAGGAGUGGAGCCUGCGGCUUAAUUUGACUCAACACGGGAAAUCUCACCAGGCCCGGACACUGGAAGGAUUGACAGAUUGAGAGCUCUUUCUCGAU
Molecule: ribosomal RNA, 647 nt
Filed under: uncultured marine eukaryote
Lineage: Eukaryota
Description: SSU rRNA
Rfam family: Eukaryotic small subunit ribosomal RNA
Source: RNAcentral